CCAGACUCUUUCCAGCACUCUCACAUAUAACGUGAUCAAACAUGUUCACAUUUCUCUUCACUGUUACUGUCUUAGUGCUCUGUGCUGCAGGUCUUGUUGAGGGGAGUGAAGUCACUCAGACACCCACCAUACUCUGGGGACUGAAAGACAGUGAUGCUCAGAUGAACUGCAGUCACACUAAGGGAUCUGACUACAAACAGAUGUACUGGUACAGACAGCGUCCAGGAGAGGGAAUGAAGCAGGUAGUUUACACAAGUAGUUAUAGCAAACCAGACUAUGGAGCCUUCGGUGAAGACAAAUAUCCAACUGUUAAGACUGCAGCUGAGAGUGGAUCUUUCACAGUGAAGAAGGUGGAGGCAGGAGACAGCGGCAUGUACUUCUGUGCCGUGUAUGAACACAGUGAUACAGACGACAAGCACAGCUGCACAAAAACCCCAGAGUUUCAAUAG
Molecule: non-coding RNA, 449 nt
Organism: Coregonus clupeaformis (lake whitefish)
Lineage: Eukaryota; Metazoa; Chordata; Actinopteri; Salmoniformes; Salmonidae
Source: the annotation of a RefSeq genome assembly